This is a long non-coding RNA of Hevea brasiliensis (rubber tree), 370 nucleotides long. RefSeq lists it as uncharacterized. Lineage: Eukaryota; Viridiplantae; Streptophyta; Magnoliopsida; Malpighiales; Euphorbiaceae. The record is from RefSeq and is a predicted model, not a curated record. The transcript is spliced from 2 exons.
UGGGGAAGGUAAACACGGCGCGACCCAACAGGCAAAAAGAAUAUCCAGACGCGACAAGAAACUAAAGAAGCAAAUAAACUCGCUGCUUCCACCGUGCCGUCUAUGCUCCGAUUUCAAUUUCCGAACCCUAAAUUUUAUUUUCUUGGGGAUUAAACUUUCUACAGCUCCUGCUCUGCUUCCACUUUUUCUCGUGGCUACUGAUUAAUUACCCUUUUAUUCUUGUGAGACUGAGACAAUGAUUUAAUGUCAGGAACUGAAGUUGAGAAGUUUCCUAGAAAAUAAUGUUCUCCAGAAAAAGAGAUUCCCAUUUAUUUUCUGUUACAAUUACUAGAAAAAUAAAAUGAUGCCAUGCAUAGUCUGGUAAAUAGUA